GAUGAACGCUGGCGGCGUGCCUAAUACAUGCAAGUCGAGCGAACAGACGAGGAGCUUGCUCCUCUGACGUUAGCGGCGGACGGGUGAGUAACACGUGGAUAACCUACCUAUAAGACUGGGAUAACUUCGGGAAACCGGAGCUAAUACCGGAUAAUAUAUUGAACCGCAUGGUUCAAUAGUGAAAGACGGUUUUGCUGUCACUUAUAGAUGGAUCCGCGCCGCAUUAGCUAGUUGGUAAGGUAACGGCUUACCAAGGCGACGAUGCGUAGCCGACCUGAGAGGGUGAUCGGCCACACUGGAACUGAGACACGGUCCAGACUCCGACGGGAGGCAGCAGUAGGGAAUCUUCCGCAAUGGGCGAAAGCCUGACGGAGCAAAGCCGCGUGAGUGAUGAAGGUCUUCGGAUCGUAAAACUCUGUUAUUAGGGAAGAACAAAUGUGUAAGUAACUAUGCACGUCUUGACGGUACCUAAUCAGAAAGCCACGGCUAACUACGUG
RNAcentral lists this ribosomal RNA (497 nucleotides) under uncultured bacterium. RNAcentral describes it as "partial 16S ribosomal RNA". It matches the Rfam family "Bacterial small subunit ribosomal RNA", at positions 28 to 507 of the family's 1533-position model. The record is from RNAcentral.